RNAcentral lists this ribosomal RNA (255 nucleotides) under uncultured bacterium. RNAcentral's name for it is "partial 16S ribosomal RNA". It matches the Rfam family "Bacterial small subunit ribosomal RNA", at positions 524 to 776 of the family's 1533-position model. The record is from RNAcentral.
UACGUAGGGGGGCAAGCGUUGUCCGGAAUCAUUGGGCGUAAAGCGCGUGUAGGCGGCUCGGUAAGUCCGCUCUGAAAAGUCCAGGGCUCAACCCUGGGAUGCGGGUGGAUACUGCCGGGCUCGAGUCCGGAAGAGGCGAGUGGAAUUCCUGGUGUAGCGGUGAAAUGCGCAGAUAUCAGGAGGAACACCAAUUGCGAAGGCAGCUCGCUGGGACGUUACUGACGCUGAGACGCGAAAGCGUGGGGAGCAAACAGG